This is a non-coding RNA of Myotis davidii, 75 nucleotides long. The record is from Rfam. Lineage: Eukaryota; Metazoa; Chordata; Mammalia; Chiroptera; Vespertilionidae.
GGUGGUUCUCGGGUGAUGCACCCCAAAAUCAGGCUCCCUCCUUUCUAGUUCCUAAUGCAUCACCCGAGAACCACA